AUUGAACGCUGGCGGCAGGCCUAACACAUGCAAGUCGAACGAGUGGCGGACGGGUGAGUAAUGUCUGGGAAUCUGCCUGAUGGAGGGGGAUAACUACUGGAAACGGUGGCUAAUACCGCAUACCAUCGGAUGUACCCAUAUGGGAUUAGCUUGUUGGUGGGGUAACGGCUCACCAAGGCGACGAUCCCUAGCUGGUCUGAGAGGAUGACCAGCCACAGUGGAACUGAGACACGGUCCAGACUCCUAAGUGAGGCAGCGGUGGGGAAUAUUGCACAAUGGGCGCAAGCCUGAUGCAGCCAUGCCGCGUGUAUGAAGAAGGCCUUCGGGUUGUAAAGUACUUUCAGCGGGGAGGCGUUACCCGCAGAAGAAGCACCGGCUAACUCCGUGCCAGCAGCCGCGGUAAUUC
This 406-nucleotide ribosomal RNA is filed under the name uncultured bacterium. RNAcentral describes it as "partial 16S ribosomal RNA". It matches the Rfam family "Bacterial small subunit ribosomal RNA", at positions 30 to 526 of the family's 1533-position model. The record is from RNAcentral.